AUCUUAGAAUAGUUUUAGGUCGCUCACCCAAGAGGAGAUCAGUCUCCUCUUUUGUUCACACCUAGGAAGAAGGAAACCCACCCAAACCUCAUGCUCUAAAGAAGUAUUUUUGACCCUCUUUCUCUUUGAUAUCUCACAGUAAAAAACUCUCUUAGUUUGGCAUACAAAAUUGUGAUCUUUUUAUGUUUGUCACACAAAUCAGAUAAGAUAAGAUAAGGGCUGG
Molecule: long non-coding RNA, 223 nt
Filed under: Elaeis guineensis (African oil palm)
Lineage: Eukaryota; Viridiplantae; Streptophyta; Magnoliopsida; Arecales; Arecaceae
Description: long non-coding RNA (EGUI_LNC036619)
Source: RNAcentral